RNAcentral lists this ribosomal RNA (232 nucleotides) under uncultured archaeon. RNAcentral's name for it is "partial 16S ribosomal RNA". The record is from RNAcentral.
AUAGUUAACUUAACCUAUGGAUGGGAAUAACCUCAGGGAAACUUGAGGAUAAUAACCAAUAGGGGCACAAGUGCCUGGAAUGAACUGUGGUUGAAAUAGAUUUAUCGCCGUACGAUAGGACUGCGGCCUAUCAGCUUGUAAGGUGAAGGUAGUGGACGAACAUGGCUAUAAAAAGGGCUCAAAUAAAAGAGAUAACGGGAUCUGAACAGGAGGGGCCCAGAAAAUGGUAUAC